RNAcentral lists this ribosomal RNA (1160 nucleotides) under Salmonella enterica subsp. enterica serovar Kisarawe. RNAcentral's name for it is "partial 23S ribosomal RNA". It matches the Rfam family "Bacterial large subunit ribosomal RNA", at positions 1 to 1191 of the family's 2925-position model. The record is from RNAcentral. Lineage: Bacteria; Pseudomonadati; Pseudomonadota; Gammaproteobacteria; Enterobacterales; Enterobacteriaceae.
GGGUUGUGAGGUUAAGCGACUAAGCGUACACGGUGGAUGCCCUGGCAGUCAGAGGCGAUGAAGGGCGUGCUAAUCUGCGAUAAGCGCCGGUAAGGUGAUAUGAACCGUUAUAACCGGCGAUACCCGAAUGGGGAAACCCAGUGUGAUUCGUCACACUAUCAUUAACUGAAUCCAUAGGUUAAUGAGGCGAACCGGGGGAACUGAAACAUCUAAGUACCCCGAGGAAAAGAAAUCAACCGAGAUUCCCUCAGUAGCGGCGAGCGAACGGGGAGGAGCCCAGAGCCUGAAUCAGCAUGUGUGUUAGUGGAAGCGUCUGGAAAGGCGCGCGAUACAGGGUGACAGCCCCGUACACAAAAGCGCAUAUGCUGUGAGCUCGAUGAGUAGGGCGGGACACGUGGUAUCCUGUCUGAAUAUGGGGGGACCAUCCUCCAAGGCUAAAUACUCCUGACUGACCGAUAGUGAACCAGUACCGUGAGGGAAAGGCGAAAAGAACCCCGGCGAGGGGAGUGAAAAAGAACCUGAAACCGUGUACGUACAAGCAGUGGGAGCACAGGUUUACCUGUGUGACUGCGUACCUUUUGUAUAAUGGGUCAGCGACUUAUAUUCUGUAGCAAGGUUAACCGAAUAGGGGAGCCGGAGGGAAACCGAGUCUUAACCGGGCGUUAAGUUGCAGGGUAUAGACCCGAAACCCGGUGAUCUAGCCAUGGGCAGGUUGAAGGUUGGGUAACACUAACUGGAGGACCGAACCGACUAAUGUUGAAAAAUUAGCGGAUGACCUGUGGCUGGGGGUGAAAGGCCAAUCAAACCGGGAGAUAGCUGGUUCUCCCCGAAAGCUAUUUAGGUAGCGCCUCGUGAAUUCAUCUCCGGGGGUAGAGCACUGUUUCGGCUAGGGGGCCAUCCCGGCUUACCAACCCGAUGCAAACUGCGAAUACCGGAGAAUGUUAUCACGGGAGACACACGGCGGGUGCUAACGUCCGUCGUGAAGAGGGAAACAACCCAGACCGCCAGCUAAGGUCCCAAAGUCAUGGUUAAGUGGGAAACGAUGUGGGAAGGCCCAGACAGCCAGGAUGUUGGCUUAGAAGCAGCCAUCAUUUAAAGAAAGCGUAAUAGCUCACUGGUCGAGUCGGCCUGCGCGGAAGAUGUAACGGGGCUAAACCAUG